GUGGCGUUUGAGGACUUGCCCUUUUACAGAAUAAUAAUAAAGGCAUGCAGGGGUGUUUACAAACAGACGACCACAGCUGAAGUAGAUUGUGAGCUUGGAGAGGUCCUGAAACUGGCCACUUUUCGAAAGGGAGGUUCAAAGUUUGAGGAGAAGAGGAGGAAUUAAGAGGAAGCGACGGCGAAGAAGGGCAAAGGGAAGUG
Nerophis lumbriciformis (worm pipefish) is the source of this 200-nucleotide long non-coding RNA. RefSeq lists it as uncharacterized. The record is from RefSeq and is a predicted model, not a curated record. Lineage: Eukaryota; Metazoa; Chordata; Actinopteri; Syngnathiformes; Syngnathidae.